AAUAGCGGAGGAAAAGAAACCAACCGGGAUUGCCUUAGUAACGGCGAGUGAAGCGGCAAAAGCUCAAAUUUGAAAUCUGGUACCUUCGGUGCCCGAGUUGUAAUUUGGAGAGGGCAACUUUGGGGCCGUUCCUUGUCUAUGUUCCUUGGAACAGGACGUCAUAGAGGGUGAGAAUCCCGUGUGGCGAGGAGUGCGGUUCUUUGUAAAGUGCCUUCGAAGAGUCGAGUUGUUUGGGAAUGCAGCUUUAAGUGGGUGGUAAAUUCCAUCUAAAGCUAAAUAUUGGCGAGAGACCGUUAGCGACCAAGUACAGUGAUGGAAAGAUGAAAAGAACUUUGAAAAGAGAGUGAAAAAGUACGUGAAAUUGUUGAAAGGGAAGGGCAUUUGAUCAGACAUGGUGUUUUGUGCCCUCUGCUCCUUGUGGGUAGGGGAAUCUCGCAUUUCACUGGGCCAGCAUCAGUUUUGGUGGCAGGAUAAAUCCAUAGGAAUGUAGCUUGCCUCGGUAAGUAUUAUAGCCUGUGGGAAUACUGCCAGCUGGGACUGAGGACUGCGACGUAAGUCAAGGAUGCUGCAACGACCUUUGAU
This 582-nucleotide ribosomal RNA is filed under the name Saccharomyces cerevisiae (brewer's yeast). RNAcentral's name for it is "eukaryotic LSU rRNA". It matches the Rfam family "Eukaryotic large subunit ribosomal RNA", at positions 45 to 638 of the family's 3401-position model. Lineage: Eukaryota; Fungi; Ascomycota; Saccharomycetes; Saccharomycetales; Saccharomycetaceae. The record is from RNAcentral.